UACGAAGGGGGCUAGCGUUGUUCGGAUUUACUGGGCGUAAAGCGCACGUAGGCGGAUUGUUAAGUCAGGGGUGAAAUCCUGGAGCUCAACUCCAGAACUGCCUUUGAUACUGGCAAUCUCGAGUCCGGAAGAGGUAAGUGGAACUCCUAGUGUAGAGGUGGAAUUCGUAGAUAUUAGGAAGAACACCAGUGGCGAAGGCGGCUUACUGGUCCGGAACUGACGCUGAGGUGCGAAAGCGUGGGGAGCGAACAGG
This 253-nucleotide ribosomal RNA is filed under the name uncultured bacterium. RNAcentral's name for it is "partial 16S ribosomal RNA". It matches the Rfam family "Bacterial small subunit ribosomal RNA", at positions 524 to 776 of the family's 1533-position model. The record is from RNAcentral.